RNAcentral lists this ribosomal RNA (492 nucleotides) under uncultured bacterium. RNAcentral's name for it is "partial 16S ribosomal RNA". It matches the Rfam family "Bacterial small subunit ribosomal RNA", at positions 29 to 507 of the family's 1533-position model. The record is from RNAcentral.
AGUGAACGCUGGCGGUAGGCCUAACACAUGCAAGUCGAACGGCAGCACAGUAAGAGCUUGCUCUUACGGGUGGCGAGUGGCGGACGGGUGAGGAAUACAUCGGAAUCUACUUUUUCGUGGGGGAUAACGUAGGGAAACUUACGCUAAUACCGCAUACGACCUACGGGUGAAAGCAGGGGAUCUUCGGACCUUGCGCGAUUGAAUGAGCCGAUGUCGGAUUAGCUAGUUGGCGGGGUAAAGGCCCACCAAGGCAACGAUCCGUAGCUGGUCUGAGAGGAUGAUCAGCCACACUGGAACUGAGACACGGUCCAGACUCCUACGGGAGGCAGCAGUGGGGAAUAUUGGACAAAGGGCGCAAGCCUGACCCAGCCAUACCGCGUGGGUGAAGAAGGCCUUCGGGUUGUAAAGCCCUUUUGUUGGGAAAGAACAGCAGCAUGUUAAUCCCCCGCUGUUCUGACGGUACCCAAAGAAUAAGCACCGGCUAACUUCGUG